Long non-coding RNA from Daphnia magna, 496 nucleotides. RefSeq lists it as uncharacterized. Lineage: Eukaryota; Metazoa; Arthropoda; Branchiopoda; Diplostraca; Daphniidae. The transcript is spliced from 3 exons. The record is from RefSeq and is a predicted model, not a curated record.
GGGGUCUAUGACUCUGACAGAACUGUUGAACCCGCCACCCAUGUUUUGCAACAUUUGCAGGAAAAGUUGCCGAAACCAUUUUCUUGUCCCGCCUUUUUGAAAAUAAGAUGGCCGAACUCAUACCAUGGCAUUAACCAAUAGAAUUUGAGAGGUAAGAGGUUGGGUAAAGAGAUCUUUCAGUGGCCAUCUUGUUUAGACUUGUGCUCUGGGUAGCAACUUACAUGUCCAGUACACAAAGCUAUCAUCCAGUUUGCCGAUAUCCAGGAAAUUGUUUGCUGAUGUGACUUAAGACAACCAGAAUCAGGGAUACUUAUUGUGAAGCCUGUUUGUUCAAGAAAUUGAAAUGCCAUACUGGUUGAAACAAAGCAGGAAUUCAAUCUGGAUUAGGUUGAAACUAAUAAAAAGUGCUGUAUUGGUUUCUAAGUGCAUUCAUGCCAAUGUACAAUUGAUACAUUGGUACAUUGAUACAUCAGAUAAUCCAUAAAUGAAGUUGGUG